RNAcentral lists this ribosomal RNA (200 nucleotides) under uncultured bacterium. RNAcentral's name for it is "partial 16S ribosomal RNA". It matches the Rfam family "Bacterial small subunit ribosomal RNA", at positions 29 to 256 of the family's 1533-position model. The record is from RNAcentral.
AACGAACGCUGGCGGCAUGCCUAACACAUGCAAGUCGAACGAGACCCUCGGGUCUAGUGGCGCACGGGUGCGUAACGCGUGGGAACCUGCCCUGAGGUUCGGAAUAACAGUUAGAAAUGACUGCUAAUACCGGAUAAUGUCUUCGGACCAAAGAUUUAUUGCCUUGGGAUGGGCCCGCGUAGGAUUAGCUAGUUGGUGGG